RNAcentral lists this ribosomal RNA (589 nucleotides) under uncultured bacterium. RNAcentral's name for it is "partial 16S ribosomal RNA". It matches the Rfam family "Bacterial small subunit ribosomal RNA", at positions 355 to 1375 of the family's 1533-position model. The record is from RNAcentral.
UGGGGAAUUUUGGACAAUGGGCGAAAGCCUGAUCCAGCAAUGCCGCGUGUGUGAAGAAGGCCUUCGGGUUGUAAAGCACUUUUGUCCGGAAAGAAAUCCUUGGCUCUAAUACAGUCGGGGGAUGACGGUACCGGAAGAAUAAGCACCGGCUAACUACGUGCCAGCAGCCGCGGUAAUACGUAGGGUGCAAGCGUUAAUCGGAAUUACUGGGCGUAAAGCGUGCGCAGGCGGUUUGCUAAGACCGAUGUGAAAUCCCCGGGCUCAACCUGGGAACUGCAUUGGUGACUGGCAGGCUAGAGUAUGGCAGAGGGGGGUAGAAUUCCACGUGUAGCAGUGAAAAUGCGUAGAGAUGUGGAGGAAUACCGAUGGCGAAGGCAGCCCCCUGGGCCAAUACUGACGCUCAUGCACGAAAGCGUGGGGGAGCAAACAGGAUUAGAUACCCUGGUAGUCCACGCCCUAAAACGAUGUCAACUAGUUGUUGGGGAUUCAUUUCCUUAGUAACGUAGCUAACGCGUGAAGUUGACCGCCUGGGGGAGUACGGUCGCAAGAUUAAAACUCAAAUGAAUUGACGGGGUCAUAGCUGUUUCCU